AAGACUAUACUUUCAGGGAUCAUUUCUAUAGUUUGUUACUAGAGAGAUGCUUCGAAAGUGAUCGGUCUUGCCUACCACAAUGAGGAGUUAUAAUGCUUUCUCCUGAGCACGAAGAAGGAUCUGUACAACAAUUAUUUGUAGUACUUUUCCAUUGAUGACUGCUUGUGUUAUACUUGGUAUAACACGAGGGCGAAAGCAUAAUCUGAGUGGU
This is a small nucleolar RNA of Protopterus annectens (West African lungfish), 211 nucleotides long. RefSeq annotates it as small nucleolar RNA U3. The transcript has a single exon. The record is from RefSeq and is a predicted model, not a curated record. Lineage: Eukaryota; Metazoa; Chordata; Ceratodontiformes; Protopteridae.